GCCUCCCUCCGCCGCCACUCACGACUCCGUACGGGACGGCGACGCGAGUAGGGAAGUAGUUAGGACGAAGUACGGGGAAACCGUACGGACUCCAGCGACGCCGCGUUGUGAGAGCNGCGGUGUAAGCACUUUAGUGGGUAGUGAAAGUUCAGGCUAAUACCUUGGAUGUUGACCUAACCACAACGAAAAGACAACCGGCUAACUCUGUGCCAGCAGCCGCGGUAAUAC
This 228-nucleotide ribosomal RNA is filed under the name uncultured bacterium. Its description in RNAcentral is "partial 16S ribosomal RNA". The record is from RNAcentral.